This is a non-coding RNA of Castor canadensis (American beaver), 163 nucleotides long. NCBI's taxonomy places the organism in Eukaryota, Metazoa, Chordata, Mammalia, Rodentia, Castoridae. The record is from RefSeq and is a predicted model, not a curated record.
CGCAGCGCAGUAGCUCUCCAAGCCCGCGAGCCGCGACCGCGGGUGCAUCCAGUGUCUGCGCCCAGUUUUAUUGAUCUGAUCCAACUUGUGACUGCUGGCUGGAAUUAAGAUUCUUCAGCUUGUCUGUAAUCAAGGAAGCAUUGAUUGGGAACUACUCACUCAG